Molecule: ribosomal RNA, 254 nt
Filed under: uncultured bacterium
Lineage: Bacteria
Description: partial 16S ribosomal RNA
Rfam family: Bacterial small subunit ribosomal RNA
Source: RNAcentral
UACGUAGGGUGCGAGCGUUGUCCGGAAUUAUUGGGCGUAAAGGGCUCGUAGGCGGUUUGUCGCGUCGGGGAGUGAAAACACUGGGCUUAACUCAGUGCUUGCUUUCGAUACGGGCAGACUAGAGGUAUGCAGGGGAGAACGGAAUUCCUGGUGUAGCGGUGAAAUGCGCAGAUAUCAGGAGGAACACCGGUGGCGAAGGCGGGUCUCUGGGCAGUAACUGACGCUGAGGAGCGAAAGCGUGGGGAGCGAACAGG